GCGUGGAGAGGCGUGUGCUGAUGGGUGACCUUUGCCCAGAUCUGACGCCCGGCCUGGGGAGCCGUGUGGGGACAGGAGGCAAAGCCGCCUUGGUGAGAAGAGAACCCUCGCUUUGGGAUGCCCUUCCGGCCGCAGCCCCUCCUCCCAAUCCCCUCUCCACCCUCUGCAUCCCAAAAUCCGUCCAUACGAAUUCGAGACAAUCUUUGCAAAUCUCUGGAGUUCCGUGGCCACGUCUUCGGAUCCUCGGGGUUUCUCCGAGGAUCCGAUUAGAGUCUUUGCAAAGACGGACUGACGCAUGCGUUGCACGAGUCGAGCCGGACGCAUGACGGGGAUGGAUGAAUUUUAAGCAAAGCAGUAGCGAGUUCGUGGUGUAGAGGCACAAGAUUUGGUAUGCCCUGGUCGGAGCGAUUGAUAAACGGCGAGCUUAUUUUACCUAUGGCAACGCAUCUGGACGGGUUUCACCAAUCCUUCAACCCGCCCACCGUACCACGUCAACACGUAAUGGAUGCGCCUUGUUCACUUGCGGCCGCACCUCUGCAGUUGUCCCAUCAAAUAAAAUACAACAGUGGAUAGCGCCAGUACUGUGCACUGCGAAGCUAUUUUUUUACACGAGCCUACCGGAAGCAAACAUGUCGUAGCAGCUCGUGACGUGCAGAAGCUGAAGUGGCAUCUCAGCGUGUCAGGUUGCCCGUGACGCCGUGGAUGUAAGCAAAGUCGUGGCCAGUUUUUUUUUUUUUUUGAAA
This is a long non-coding RNA of Triticum dicoccoides, 743 nucleotides long. RefSeq lists it as uncharacterized. NCBI's taxonomy places the organism in Eukaryota, Viridiplantae, Streptophyta, Magnoliopsida, Poales, Poaceae. The transcript has 3 exons. The record is from RefSeq and is a predicted model, not a curated record.